RNAcentral lists this ribosomal RNA (497 nucleotides) under uncultured bacterium. RNAcentral describes it as "partial 16S ribosomal RNA". It matches the Rfam family "Bacterial small subunit ribosomal RNA", at positions 28 to 507 of the family's 1533-position model. The record is from RNAcentral.
GAUGAACGCUGGCGGCGUGCCUAAUACAUGCAAGUCGAGCGAACAGACGAGGAGCUUGCUCCUCUGACGUUAGCGGCGGACGGGUGAGUAACACGUGGAUAACCUACCUAUAAGACUGGGAUAACUUCGGGAAACCGGAGCUAAUACCGGAUAAUAUAUUGAACCGCAUGGUUCAAUAGUGAAAGACGGUUUUGCUGUCACUUAUAGAUGGAUCCGCGCCGCAUUAGCUAGUUGGUAAGGUAACGGCUUACCAAGGCAACGAUGCGUAGCCGACCUGAGAGGGUGAUCGGCCACACUGGAACUGAGACACGGUCCAGACUCCUACGGGAGACAGCAGUAGGGAAUCUUCCGCAAUGGGCGAAAGCCUGACAGAGCAACGCCGCGUGAGUGAUGAAGGUCUUCGGAUCGUAAAACUCUGUUAUUAGGGAAGAACAAAUGUGUAAGUAACUAUGCACGUCUUGACGGUACCUAAUCAGAAAGCCACGGCUAACUACGUG